This 487-nucleotide long non-coding RNA is filed under the name Homo sapiens (human). RNAcentral describes it as "HSALNT0222859". The record is from RNAcentral. Lineage: Eukaryota; Metazoa; Chordata; Mammalia; Primates; Hominidae.
GGCCUCAGACAGCAGAACACGGCAGCCUGGCAGCCCUCCCGUGGCGCUUUGCAGGGCACCUUCAUCCCCACAGAGCUGGGUUAAGUUUCUCUCCCUGGGGCAGGAACUCAGCUGCAGAGGCAGCAGGAAGGGGACAGAAGCCCGCCCCAAAGAGGGCUGGGGCAGGGGCACCCUUACGCCCGCCUGGUCUGGCCCAGUAGAGCUGGAGGGACUGUCAGUCCUAAGACAAACACUGGCCCUUUGGGGGUAUGGAAAAGUCAGGAAGCAAUCCAAGGCAGUGUGGAGGCCCAGCGAGGGGACCCCAGGAACCCAGACCAUGAGCUUAUGUGGCCAAAGACAGCAGCCAGCACCAAGACAUCAAAGAGGGCGGGUAGAAAGAUCAUCACAUCGGGAUUGACUGUGGCCGGCACCAGGUUCCUCUGUACUUCUGGAAUACACAGGCCUCUCCUUCCUAUCCCUGAAGCGCCCAUGCCCCCACCCCAGCACC